This 1149-nucleotide long non-coding RNA is filed under the name Monodelphis domestica (gray short-tailed opossum). RNAcentral describes it as "lncRNA (ENSMODG00000034323.2)". The record is from RNAcentral. Lineage: Eukaryota; Metazoa; Chordata; Mammalia; Didelphimorphia; Didelphidae.
AGAUCACGAAAUCAGUGUGUUUUUGUUCUAGAUGUGUACUGUUGCAUGCACAUGUCACGUGUCAUGUGUUGACCGUAGUUAUAUUUUUCCUUCUUAUCCCCAGUGUAUGUGCAUGUUGCAUGCAUGUCCUUAGUGUGAAAUUAACAUGUAUGGUGAUUUAUCUCAUGUGACAUGCUUUUUAGAAGUUCUUUUUCUAUACAGUUCUUGGGUAACAGUUCUUUCCUGUGUUCUUUAUGUCCAUUUGCAGUCUCUGGUGUUCUCUGGAAGGAUAUCUCAGAUCCGGCUGUCUUCCUCUGUGCAGAAACCCAUUUUGACUGUUGUCUCAACCUUGAUCGUGGAUUUUCUUUUACAGGAGCGUGCAUGUGUGUAAGAGUAGUUGCUGUUGUGUGAGCUUAACUGCUGCUACGCAUAGUCUCUGCUAUGGACUGUAGAAGACCUCUGGUGGCUCUUCUAACCUUUCAAAAUGAAUAAGAUUGUGUCAUGGCCCAUCUGCUUCUGAAGCUCAUUUCCUGAGAUCAAGAAAGAAAGAAUACACAGAGGGAAAAGAAAUAGUGGUGCUAUGAUCUCAUCAGCCAGCAGGUGACUUAAUUGUGAAAACAAGGGGAAAGAAAUUUGGUCACCUGAAGUUCCCAAGUCCUGAGUGGAAUGCUACUGUCCAGAUAAAUCAAAUCAUCCUUAAAUAAUACUAUGGAACCCUACAUGAGUGGGCUGGGCAUGAUCCCUAAGGAAAAAAACUUGGUCCAUUCUAAAAGGAACUGGCUUGUAAUGGACUUCUCCAUUAGUGACAAUGCAGUGAUCCUGAACAACUCGAAGGGAUCUAUGAGAAAGAACACCAUCCACAUCCAAAGGAAAAACUGUGGAAGCAAAAACACUGAAGAAAACAACUGCUUGAUUACAUGGGUCAAUGGGGAUAUAACUGGGGAUGUAGACUCUAAAUGAUCACCCUAGUGCAAACAUCAACAACAUGGAAAUAGGUUCUGAUCAAGGACACAUGUAAUACCCAGUAAAAUUGCGCAUGGGCUACGGAAAGGAGUGGGGGGAGGGGAGGGAGGAAUAGAAUAUGAUUUUUGUAACCAAGGAAUAAUGUUCCAAAUUGACAAAAUAAUAUUUUCAAAAAAAUAAAAUAAAAUAAAAGGAACUGGCUGCCCA